RNAcentral lists this ribosomal RNA (301 nucleotides) under uncultured bacterium. RNAcentral's name for it is "partial 16S ribosomal RNA". It matches the Rfam family "Bacterial small subunit ribosomal RNA", at positions 509 to 807 of the family's 1533-position model. The record is from RNAcentral.
CAGUAGCCACGGGAAUACGUAGGGUGCGAGCGUUAAUCGGAAUUACUGGGCGUAAAGCGUGCGCAGGCGGUUUGUUAAGACAGAUGUGAAAUCCCCGGGCUCAACCUGGGAACUGCAUUUGUGACUGGCAAGCUAGAGUGUGGCAGAGGGGGGUGGAAUUCCGCGUGUAGCAGUGAAAUGCGUAGAUAUGCGGAGGAACACCGAUGGCGAAGGCAGCCCCCUGGGCCAACACUGACGCUCAUGCACGAAAGCGUGGGGAGCAAACAGGAUUAGAUACCCCCGUAGUCCCUGUCUCUUAUAC